UAGAAAUAGCAGAAGUGAGCGUGAAACUGAAAGUAAAGGUACAUAUUCGAAACAAGAUGGAUGCCCCGCUGGACCCCACUAAACACUGCGUUGUGUGCUUGAUUGUCUGUAUUAUUAUUCAGGUGGCUGUGAAUGAUUGUGUAGAAAAACAAGCCUGGUAUGUCCGAAUACCGCUUCAUUUCUUGGCCUUCCUAUUUUCAUACGCUGGCACUUUCUGUUUCAUGGAGAUCACCGGUAUCAUGGGCAAAUAAUCCUUAGCCCUAAGGAGACCUUUAAUUAGGAUGUAACCACGCUAAAGGAAGGCAGACACGCAAGCGGUGCUAUCUACACAAGAGAUGCAAUGUUUAAAUUCUAAAUGAUAUUUUUUUGUACACUGAAUCUCAAUGUUAAAUACAUCCUCUAGAUUCCAUCAUUUGUCUAAAAAAAAGUUUGUUUUAAAAAAAAGGGAGAGAAGCUAAUUGCAUAUGUUGUGUAUAUCUCUUGAUUGUGUAUUUACGUAUAGUGGAUGUAACAUUUUGUUUUUAAAAGGGUUGAUAACAUGAAUUAAGUGAUUUCUUGGUUAUCCCCCAUGAUAGUAUUCUCUGGUCAAAAAGCAUAGUACCUAUAAAUAUAUACAUGCACUAUGUCAAUUAGAGGAGAAAAAAAUGUAUAGGCCCUACCUCUAAUCAUUUUUGCCUUGCAUUUCAACAAUAGCUUCUAUUACUUCUCUAUUUUACUUUGAAAUGUGAAAUCUGUAUAGCUUCUAUUACUUCUUUAUUUUACUUCGAAAUAUCUGUCACACAUGAAUGUUGUACAUCUGUUUUCUAGGCAAAUAAAAUUUGUUGGGAUUGAAACAAAAAAAGAGUACUAGGUUUUCAUUCUUUAAUACAAAUGUUGUUAUUGGGUGAUGUGUUGAAUGUUGUACAUCUGUUUUCUAGGCAAAUAAAAUUUGUUGGGAUUGAAACAAAAAAAGAGUACUAGGUUUUCAUUCUUUAAUACAAAUGAUGUUAUUGGGUGAUGUGUUGAAUGUUGUACAUCUGUUUUCUACCCAAAAUAAAAUUUGCUGGGAUUGAAACACACAAAAAGAGAACUAGGUUCUAUAAUACAAAUGUUGUUACUGGGUGAUGUGUUGAAUGUUGUACAUCUGUUUUCUACCCAAAAUAAAAUUUGCUGGGAUUGAAAUACACAAAAAGAGUACUAGGUUCUAUAAUACAAAUGUUGUUAUUGGGUGAUGUGUUGAAUGUUAUGCUCAAGUGUUUCUUCUCUUUGACUUUCUAUUUCUGCAGGUGGAUGUGUUCUGGAAAUAGCAAAACAAAUCAUCUGCUACUUUAUUAUAGAACUAAGACAUUAAAAUUUAAGUAUUUCAAACAAGCUUGCAUAAAUAAGAGCAUUUAUUACUCUUUUUAUUUUUAUUGAAUUUUUUGUAUGAAUGACAUCACAAAGCUGUGGCAAUGAAGUAAUAUUCAUAAUUUGUUAGAAGGAACCAGAAUUACUCAUCUUUCCUAAGUAUACAAUAUACAGGUUGUUUUUCUGUGCCAUUAUCCAAUGUAAUUGCAGUUUUAUUUGUUCUUUGAAAAAGCCAAAGAAAUAUUGUAAAUUUCUUUGAGACACUAGUUGAGAGGACCAGUGGGGUUGAUACCAUACUGGAAACAAAACAACUCAAGACAGUUGGUGUAUUUAAGAAACAGUUGUAUUUCACCAAAUCAAACAUUAUAUUGACAUGAUCACACACACACACAUCCCAGUCUUCUCUCUCUCGUAACACACCAUCUCUGAACACAAAAACACUUUGGGUUGUGAUCAUGUACACAAUCACACAGCUCAGCCUUCCCUGAUGUACAAAGUACACAUCUAAUCAUUAGAGUCACAAGGAAUGACACUGUUCACAAUAUUUUGUUGAUAAAAGAAUUUCUUGUAUUCGAUUGUUGCUUUCUAUUGUUAUAAAAAAAAACUGCUUUAAAAUACUAGAUCAGUUACCUGUUGAAAGAUUAAUCAAUUUGCAGUAAAUAGAUAUUAAGGGAAGCUUAAAAACAGAAAGUUUGAAAAUGUAAUUCUGCUGGAUAAAAAAAACAAAAAAAAACCUCAAAUUGUAGUCUGCAAGUUCCACAUGAUAAGUAAUAUAAAAAAAAAAAAAAAAAUAUUUAU
Molecule: long non-coding RNA, 2124 nt
Organism: Biomphalaria glabrata
Lineage: Eukaryota; Metazoa; Mollusca; Gastropoda; Planorbidae
Exons: 2
Source: RefSeq, a predicted model, not a curated record